CCUACGGGGGGCAGCAGUGGGGAAUAUUGGACAAUGGGCGAAAGCCUGAUCCAGCAAUGCCGCGUGUGUGAAGAAGGUCUUCGGAUUGUAAAGCACUUUCGACGGGGACGAUGAUGACGGUACCCGUAGAAGAAGCCCCGGCUAACUUCGUGCCAGCAGCCGCGGUAAUACGAAGGGGGCUAGCGUUGCUCGGAAUGACUGGGCGUAAAGGGCGCGUAGGCGGUUGAUGCAGUCAGAUGUGAAAUCCCCGGGCUUAACCUGGGAACUGCAUUUGAGACGCAUUGACUAGAGUUCGAGAGAGGGUUGUGGAAUUCCCAGUGUAGAGGUGAAAUUCGUAGAUAUUGGGAAGAACACCGGUGGCGAAGGCGGCAACCUGGCUCGAUACUGACGCUGAGGCGCGAAAGCGUGGGGAGCAAACAGGAUUAGAUACCCCAGUAGUC
RNAcentral lists this ribosomal RNA (440 nucleotides) under uncultured bacterium. RNAcentral describes it as "bacterial SSU rRNA". It matches the Rfam family "Bacterial small subunit ribosomal RNA", at positions 338 to 795 of the family's 1533-position model. The record is from RNAcentral.